UUCUUCCUGCUGCGGACAAAUGAAAUGAACAUGGACAUCAAGCGCACCCGCUGUGACAAUCUGACCUUCACCGGCAAUGAUUUCAGUUGCGGCACCAAUCACCAUAGUGACAUUGGGUUGAACAUCAGGGUUUCCGGCUUUACCAAUGGCGGCAAUUUUUCCAUUUUUCAAACCAAUAUCCGCUUUUACGAUACCCCAAUGAUCCACAAUAGUGGCAUUAGUGAUGACAGUAUCCAUGACAUCAGCAUGAUUGCGCUGUGACUGGCCCAUACCAUCACGAA
RNAcentral lists this small RNA (281 nucleotides) under Nitrosomonas cryotolerans ATCC 49181. Its description in RNAcentral is "5' ureB small RNA". It matches the Rfam family "5' ureB small RNA". Lineage: Bacteria; Pseudomonadati; Pseudomonadota; Betaproteobacteria; Nitrosomonadales; Nitrosomonadaceae. The record is from Rfam by way of RNAcentral.